GUCAAAAUCCACUGGUGGCGUUUGGGGUGUUCCCGUGGACGCGGCCUCCCGGCAGGCGGACCUCCACCGGGUGGGCGCGGCAGGCGGGCUGUGCGGGCAGGAAGAGCGACGAGCUUGAGAGUGGGAGAUGGGGUGCAACGGCGGGCCUCUCCGGGGAGGUGACACUGCCGCUGAGACCCGAAUGGAAGGGCGCGCCCGGCGGGGGAACAGCAGGCGCCGAGAUGGAGUCUCACUGUAGUCCAGAUGGAGUGCAAUGGCGUGAUCUCGGCUCACU
RNAcentral lists this long non-coding RNA (274 nucleotides) under Homo sapiens (human). Its description in RNAcentral is "non-protein coding lnc-DNASE1L2-2:12". The record is from RNAcentral. Lineage: Eukaryota; Metazoa; Chordata; Mammalia; Primates; Hominidae.